UACGGAGGGUGCAAGCGUUGUCCGGAAUCACUGGGCGUAAAGGGCGCGUAGGCGGCUUGGUAAGUCAUCUGUGAAAUCCCGGUGCUCAACGCCGGGGCUGCAGGUGAGACUGCCUGGCUAGAGCUUGGUAGGGGCGAGUGGAAUUCCCGGUGUAGAGGUGAAAUUCGUAGAUAUUGGGAAGAACACCGGUGGCGAAGGCGGCUCACUGGCUCGUUUCUGACGCUCAGGCACGAAAGCAUGGGGAGCAAAAGGG
This 253-nucleotide ribosomal RNA is filed under the name uncultured bacterium. Its description in RNAcentral is "partial 16S ribosomal RNA". It matches the Rfam family "Bacterial small subunit ribosomal RNA", at positions 524 to 776 of the family's 1533-position model. The record is from RNAcentral.